Molecule: long non-coding RNA, 297 nt
Organism: Alosa sapidissima (American shad)
Lineage: Eukaryota; Metazoa; Chordata; Actinopteri; Clupeiformes; Clupeidae
Exons: 3
Source: RefSeq, a predicted model, not a curated record
UUAACCACCUGAGGCAGAACAAGUCCAGCCAGUUCUUUAGAGGGAGCGUCUGAGACUCAAGGAAAUGACAAGAGAAUACAACUCAAAACUUAUGAAAACACCUUAACCACCUGAGGCAGAACAAGUCCAGCCAGUUCUUUAGAGGGAGCGUCUGAGACUCAAGGAAAUGACAAGAGAAUACAACUCAAAACUAAUACUAAAAACAAAGAUAGAGGUUCAUGUUUAGCUACAGCUAUAAUCUGUAGUAUGUGGUGACACAUGAAACAAGACGUAAAGCUGCAUAUGUCUCAUGUACAU